ACAUACGACCACAGCCGCAUGACAAAUCUGGAUCCCGUCCGAUCUCCGAGCGAUAACCAUGCGAGCGCCGGAUUAGUAGUUGGGUCGGUGACGACCAGCGAAUACCUGGUGUUGUAUGUU
Molecule: ribosomal RNA, 120 nt
Organism: Pochonia chlamydosporia 170
Lineage: Eukaryota; Fungi; Ascomycota; Sordariomycetes; Hypocreales; Clavicipitaceae
Source: Rfam